This 650-nucleotide ribosomal RNA is filed under the name uncultured marine bacterium. RNAcentral describes it as "bacterial SSU rRNA". It matches the Rfam family "Bacterial small subunit ribosomal RNA", at positions 73 to 740 of the family's 1533-position model. The record is from RNAcentral.
GUUUACUACAGAAAAUGACUGAGCGGCGAACGGGUGAGUAACGCGUGAGCAACCUACCUUAGUUACUGGGAUAGCCCGAGGAAACUCGGAUUAAUACCGGAUAUUCUUAUUUAAUCACAUGAUUUUUUAAGGAAAGGUCAGCCGAACUAAGAUGGGCUCGCGUUCUAUCAGCUAGUUGGUAGGGUAAUGGCCUACCAAGGCUACGACGGAUAGCUGGUCUGAGAGGACGAUCAGCCACACUGGGACUGAGACACGGCCCAGACUCCUACGGGAGGCUGCAGCAGGGAAUAUUGCGCAAUGAGCGAAAGCUUGACGCAGCGACACCGCGUGUGGGAUGACGGAUCUAGGUUUGUAAACCACUUUCAGGAGGGAAGAAAAUGACGGUACCUCCACAAGAAGCCCCGGCCAACUACGUGCCAGCAGCCGCGGUAAUACGUAGGGGGCGAGCGUUGUCCGGAUUUAUUGGGCGUAAAGAGCUCGUAGGCGGUUCAACAAGUCGGUCGUGAAAGUUCAGGGCUCAACCCUGAAAUGUCGAUCGAUACUGUUGUGACUAGGAUACGGUAGAGGUGAGUGGAAUUCCGAGUGUAGCGGUGAAAUGCGUAGAUAUUCGGAGGAACACCAAUUGCGAAGGCAGCUCACUGGGCCGCUAU